ACGCUCGACACCUACGGAAGGCAGCAGUCGGGAAUAUUGCGCAAUGGAGGAAACUCUGACGCAGUGACGCCGCGUGCAGGAAGAAGGUUUUCGGAUUGUAAACUGCUUUAGACAGGGAAGAAGAAGUGACAGUACCUGUAGAAUAAGCUCCGGCUAACUACGCGCCAGCAGCCGCGGUAAUCUGAGCGGGCUGGCAAGGC
This 200-nucleotide ribosomal RNA is filed under the name uncultured bacterium. RNAcentral's name for it is "partial 16S ribosomal RNA". It matches the Rfam family "Bacterial small subunit ribosomal RNA", at positions 326 to 539 of the family's 1533-position model. The record is from RNAcentral.